GUUUGAUUCCUGGCUCAGAUUGAACGCUGGCGGCAGGCCUAACACAUGCAAGUCGAGCGGCAGCACGGGUACUUGUACCUGGUGGCGAGCGGCGGACGGGUGAGUAAUGCCUAGGAAUCUGCCUAGUAGUGGGGGAUAACGUCCGGAAACGGGCGCUAAUACCGCAUACGUCCUACGGGAGAAAGUGGGGGAUCUUCGGACCUCACGCUAUUAGAUGAGCCUAGGUCGGAUUAGCUAGUUGGUGAGGUAAUGGCUCACCAAGGCGACGAUCCGUAACUGGUCUGAGAGGAUGAUCAGUCACACUGGAACUGAGACACGGUCCAGACUCCUACGGGAGGCAGCAGUGGGGAAUAUUGGACAAUGGGCGAAAGCCUGAUCCAGCCAUGCCGCGUGUGUGAAGAAGGUCUUCGGAUUGUAAAGCACUUUAAGUUGGGAGGAAGGGCAGUUACCUAAUACGUGAUUGUUUUGACGUUACCGACAGAAUAAGCACCGGCUAACUCUGUGCCAGCAGCCGCGGUAAUACAGAGGGUGCAAGCGUUAAUCGGAAUUACUGGGCGUAAAGCGCGCGUAGGUGGUUUGUUAAGUUGGAUGUGAAAGCCCCGGGCUCAACCUGGGAACUGCAUCCAAAACUGGCAAGCUAGAGUAUGGUAGAGGGUGGUGGAAUUUCCUGUGUAGCGGUGAAAUGCGUAGAUAUAGGAAGG
This 701-nucleotide ribosomal RNA is filed under the name Pseudomonas sp. Al1. RNAcentral describes it as "bacterial SSU rRNA". It matches the Rfam family "Bacterial small subunit ribosomal RNA", at positions 11 to 704 of the family's 1533-position model. The record is from RNAcentral. Lineage: Bacteria; Pseudomonadati; Pseudomonadota; Gammaproteobacteria; Pseudomonadales; Pseudomonadaceae.